CAGCAGCCGCGGUAAUACAGAGGGUGCGAGCGUUAAUCGGAUUUACUGGGCGUAAAGCGUGCGUAGGCGGCUAAUUGAGUCGGAUGUGAAAUCCCCGAGCUUAACUUGGGAAUUGCAUUCGAUACUGGUUAGCUAGAGUGUGGGAGAGGAUGGUAGAAUUCCAGGUGUAGCGGUGAAAUGCGUAGAGAUCUGGAGGAAUACCGAUGGCGAAGGCAGCCAUCUGGCCUAAUACUGACGCUGAGGUACGAAAGCAUGGGGAGCAAACAGGAUUAGAUACCCCGGUAGUCCCUGUCUCUUAUAC
Molecule: ribosomal RNA, 301 nt
Filed under: uncultured bacterium
Lineage: Bacteria
Description: partial 16S ribosomal RNA
Rfam family: Bacterial small subunit ribosomal RNA
Source: RNAcentral